GCUGGUUACCGUGAUCAGAGAACGGCCUCAGGUUCAAAGCUCGGUGCACAGCUGGUGUGACGGGUGAGGAGGCUGCAGGCAUUGGACAACGUGUGGGAGAUUUACGAUGCUGGAUGUUUAUUAUCAACUCAUAACCCAAGAGGCCAAACGGGAAACAUUAGGUGGACGACACGUUGUGGAACUGCAGACCAGAGUGGAGAAGCAGAACGGAUGUCGAUUCAACAUUUGGCACAUUUGGAGAUAACUACUGACGGCUGUGGAUGUCGUUGGGCUGGACAGAGAAGUAAAAGAGAACUGCUUUUUUCUUUCACUUCCAACAACUCUUGAUAACAUUUGGCAUGAUCGAAAAUAUAAGAUUUUGCACAGAUUAUACCCUUUUCAGUCCUCCAGAGGGACACAUAUGGACUUCCAAAGUGGACAUCACCUUCUCCUCUGUAUUCAGUACAGAGUACUACAUGGAUGGUUUGUGAAGAAAAAGGGAUUUUAUCACUGAUUUGAAUCCUGACUAAACUGGACCUGAAUGUAGUCGAUCUAAAGCAGAUACUCUCCAUCUCCCUCGCAUCUCCUGUGCGAAUGGUACUUCUAAUGGAGCCAAGAAACGAGCAAAGCAAAGUUCUAGACCCACUGCACCCGGCCCGGUUGGCAAUCCUGAUGAUCUGUUUGAACCAUGUGGUCCACUGAGAGCAUGGAGCCAGAGAACGCCCACACCCAGAGAAGCUUCUUCACCAAGGUGGAUGUGCCCGACCGUGCUCACUACAUCGUCGCCUCAUUUGUGUUUGUCAUCGGGGCGCUGGGCAUCACUGGCAACGCGCUGGUUAUGUUAGCCUUCUACAGUAACAAGAAGCUCCGUAACCUGCCUAACUACUUCAUCAUGAACCUGGCGAUCAGUGACUUCCUCAUGGCUUUCACACAGUCCCCCAUUUUCUUCAUCAACUGCCUCUUCAAGGAAUGGGUGUUUGGAGAGAUGGGCUGUAAGAUAUAUGCGUUCUGCGGCGCCUUGUUCGGCAUCACCUCCAUGAUAACCCUGCUGGCCAUCUCUAUCGACCGGUACCUGGUGAUCACCAAGCCUCUGCAGAACGUUCACUGGGGCUCGAAGCGAAGAACCGCCGUGGCCAUCCUCUUGGUCUGGCUUUACUCUUUGGCUUGGAGUCUGGCUCCUCUUGUCGGCUGGAGCUCUUAUAUCCCGGAGGGCCUGAUGACAUCAUGUACAUGGGAUUAUGUCACAUUCACAUUGGCCAAUAGGAGCUACACGAUGAUGCUAUGCUGUUUUGUGUUCUUCAUUCCACUGGGAAUCAUCUUUUACUGCUAUCUCUUUAUGUUUCUGGCUAUGCGGAAGACGACCAGGGAGGUGGAGCGUCUGGGUACCCAGGUGAGGAAAUCCACCUUGAUCAAGCAGAAGUCCAUGAAGAGUGAGUGGAAGUUGGCAAAGAUCGCCUUCGUGGUCAUUGUAGUUUACGUCCUCUCCUGGUCGCCGUACGCCUGCGUCACACUGGUUUCCUGGGCUGGGUAAGACUUCUUUCAUAUGGUUUCAGUGUGCUUGUACAUUUCUAGAUAGUAUUCCUCAUUGUAUACAUGUUCCCUCUAAAGUAGCAGCCCUGCUAUGUUGAGAUCAGUGUUCUCUGAGGAUUUCAACCAUUCACCCCAGUGGUACUGCGUGUAGAGUGCAUUGCGUGUUAACAUGCUAAAUAUGUUGCUCAAUACAUUUUUCAUGGAAAAGCUGUUGUGGAGUCACGAUGUCAGCUCAGGGUUUACAAGUCAAAUUAUAUAGCUUGAACUGACUUGAGGUUCUGGUCCAAAUCUUGGUUUUCCAUCAAGCAUUAUGUUCAUUACCUUCGCAUUGAAAAUGCCGGAAGGUUAUGUUUUGAUCGCCCUGUAUUUAUUUAUUUAUUUAUUUGUAUGCGUGUUAUUCGCAAAACUCAAAAAGUAUUGAACCGAAUCGCAUGAAAUUUGGUGGGAUGAUUGUUUAUUAUCCGGGGACCAGUUGAUUAGAUUUUGGGAUCGAUCGGGUCAAAGGUCAAGGUCAAAGGUCAUGCACAGGUCAAAAUCUUUCGCAGAACUCAAAAAGUAUUGAACCGAAUCGCAUGAAAUUUGGUGGGAUGAUUGUUUAUUAUCCGAGGACCAGUUGAUUAGAUUUUGGGAUCGAUCGGGUCAAAGGUCAAGGUCAAAGGUCAUGAACAGGUCAAAUCUUCUUGAAUCACAUGGAAUUUGGUGGGAUGAUUGGUUAUUAUCCGGGGACCAUUUGAUUAGAUUUUGGGAUCAAUCGGGUCAAAGGUCAAGGUCAAGGUCAUAGAAAGGUCAAAAUCUUUUUUUUACCAUAGCACGAUACAUUUUUGUCCAAUUGGCAUGCAACUAAUGCCAAAAUGUUCAUAAUUCAAUGCCCAAUCUUGUGAUAUGCGAAGGUAUGCGCUCUACCGAGUGCUCGUUCUAGUUUUGUAUGUCAUGGUGCCAUUUAGAGUCAAAUAGAUCAUAAAGCAGGGAUGCUUUAGGACAUGGCUACCUUGUGAUUGACCGGUUGUCUGGUCGUUUUCGUCCACAACUUUAAUCCUUAAUGUCCGUUUUCAGUUCAGAAAAGUUAGUUGCAACCUUUUUGGCAACCUCGCAUUCGACUGUGAUCAGCUCCCCUCUCAGGUCACCUCUGGUCACAAAAAACAAGAUGGCAACGGCCAAAAGGCCAAACUCAAGGCUUCAAAACGGAAGUCCACAAACCAAUAUUAUAUACACUCUACGCUCAUAAAUAAUAAGCAGCAAACAAUUUGAAAGAUUUGCAUGAGUGCAGCCUGAUUUAGAUGCAUCAAAUAAUUCAUUGAGAUUUAGGAAUCAAAUGAGGCUCGGCUGGCAACAUUGAGAAGAGCCACUUUACAGCAGCACAAGAGUAACACUAAAGUUACAUCACUUAGGGAAAUAACCAGGAGGAUGAGGUGUCGUCAUGUAACCUUGAACCCCCCCCCCCCCCCCCCCACACACACACACAGAUCAGAUGGACUAAAUCACCCCUCUGUGUCAGCUCCCACAUUCAGGCUGAUCCUAGAUCAGGAUACUCCUCCAUUAUGAAACAACAUAUCAAAAGAAGAAGGAAACUUUGAUUUUUUUUCAAACUCUUGUUGUUCUGUCUCACUCAGUCAUGCCGACAUCCUGUCGCCCUACUCCAAGGCCGUCCCUGCUAUCAUAGCAAAGGCCUCUGCCAUCUACAAUCCUUUUAUCUACGCCUUCAU
Pseudoliparis swirei is the source of this 3212-nucleotide RNA transcript. It is a transcript of the gene named opsin 4xb, with no coding region annotated. NCBI's taxonomy places the organism in Eukaryota, Metazoa, Chordata, Actinopteri, Perciformes, Liparidae. The record is from RefSeq and is a predicted model, not a curated record. The transcript has 6 exons.